GUCUAUGGCCAUACCACUCUGAAUGUACUCAAUCUUAUCUGAUCUAGGAAGCUAAGCAGGGUCAGACUUGGUAUGGGAGACCACCUGGUGGUAGUGGGUGCUGUGUACG
Cercocebus atys (sooty mangabey) is the source of this 109-nucleotide ribosomal RNA. The record is from Ensembl. NCBI's taxonomy places the organism in Eukaryota, Metazoa, Chordata, Mammalia, Primates, Cercopithecidae.